Molecule: ribosomal RNA, 738 nt
Filed under: uncultured archaeon
Lineage: Archaea
Description: bacterial SSU rRNA
Rfam family: Archaeal small subunit ribosomal RNA
Source: RNAcentral
UUAGCCAGGCCAGUCGACGACUCGGACUAUGGCGAGAAGUGGCAAACUGCUCAGUAACACGUAGCUAACCUACCCUCAGGACGGAGACAACCCCGGGAAACUGGGGUUAAUCCCCGAUAGGCGUGGAUUCCUGGAAUGGUGUCACGCCGAAACGUUAACACACCAUGUUUGUGUACACGCCUGAGGAUGGGGCUGCGGCCGAUCAGGCAGUUGGUGAGGUAACGGCUCACCAAACCUUUGACCGGUACGGGCCGUGAGAGCGGUAGCCCGGAGAUGGACACUGAGACAAGGGUCCAGGACCUACGGGUCGCAGCCGGUACGAAACCUCCACAAUGCACGCAAGUGCGAUGGGGUUACCUCGAGUGCCGCCUGAAGAAGGCGGCUUUUCCAUUGUGUAAUGAGCCGUGGGAAUAAGGGGGGGGCAAGACUGGUGUCAGCCGCCGCGGUAACACCAGCCCCCCGAGUGGUGGGGAUGUUUAUUUGGCCUAAAACGUCCGUAGCCAGCUAGGUAAAUCUCUCGUUAAAUCCAGCGUCCUAAGCGUUGGGCUGCGAGAGAGACUGCCAAGCUAGAGGGUGGGAGAGGUCAGCGGUAUUUCUGGGGUAGGGGCGAAAUCCAUUGAUCCCAGGAGGACCACCAGUGGCGAAGGCUGCUGACUAGAACACGCCUGACGGUGAGGGACGAAAGCUGGGGUAGCGAAUCGGAUUAGAUACUCGAGUAGUCUCUAGCCGUAAACGAUG